Molecule: long non-coding RNA, 1943 nt
Organism: Planococcus citri (citrus mealybug)
Lineage: Eukaryota; Metazoa; Arthropoda; Insecta; Hemiptera; Pseudococcidae
Exons: 5
Source: RefSeq, a predicted model, not a curated record
GUCGACGUCUGCAACACUAAAACUGGCGAGCGAGUGAAAGUAAUGCUCUGCUAAAAGAAGACAAAAUUAAUCAUUUAUAUCGUACGUAUGUUGAAUCUGAUUGUGUUGUGCUCGCGGUAUCCGCUCAACUUUGGUGAAAAUAUACGUAAGAUCUUCUAUUAUUAUGCGAUACAAGUGAACAGUGACGUGGUUUUGGAAAUUUCAAAUAUGAGUUUUUUGUCGUGUGAUUAUUUUUGAGUGUUGGGUGACUUGGUGACUUUUUUAAAUUUUACUCGUUGAAUCAUGGGAUGUGUUUUUACCACGUGAUUUAACAGAUAUCAUUUUUGGAAAUCACCACGUGCUGAAAGUUCUUCAUUGUGAAUCGUAUACAACUCGCAGAUAAUCGAGAACGAUACGGUUUUGUUCGAAGCUUUUGAUCUCAAUAGCGUGAAAUAUGCCGUACAAUUUGAAACGUUGUACAACGAUAUUGAAGUGUGUUGGCAGAAAUUUCGUACAAAGUGCAAAAUAAGCAUCAGUCGAGCGAGCCGGGCCAAAAUAAACUAACACGAAUACGUUCGGUGUAUAGAAAAAGUUGAAGAAGCGAGUCAACAGGAUGGAAGAUAAUUGCGCCGGAGAAUUUGAAAACAUCGUUACUUCAGUGUAUACGAUAACCAACGAUCCACGAUUUGCCAGUCUCGGCUUCAAACCGCAAUGCCUGGCUAAGGUUUUAAAGAAAACCUCUAAUGAGCAAAAUGGUUUCGUUAUAUUUGCCCGCAGAUUUCUCAAUAUACCGAUGGAUGCAGCGUUGUAUUUUAUAGUAGUUACCUUGUUGGUUUUCAUUGUGAUCAAUUUAACGUGUAAAUUAUUGCUGUACGUGUUCACGUGAAUGUGAUCGCAGGCCAGAUUUAUACAGAUGGAUUCGUGAAAGUUUCCAUUCAAAGAAGAAACACUAAUGAAGAAAACCCUAAACUUGUGCGUAAAGAAGAAACCUUUCCAUCACGGUUGCUUUCAACAAGAGGUCAGUGUAAACAUUUGAGCACCACUGAGAAGAAAAUACGUUCAACGUCGUAGAUUUUCCAUUCACCAAAAAGCAUAUUUCUUACGAUACGAUGUGUACAUAUGUAGUACCAUGUCGUUAUAAAGGGAAAGUAAUUGAAGGGGGAUAUCUAUUUAAUUUCAUUAUUAUUAGAUGGUUACAUUUAUGAUUAAAAACCAGUAUAGUACAGAUACUGCGGAGCUCGAGUGAAAUGCAUGACGAUACUACGAUAUGGCUGAAAGGCGAAGUUGGCAACGAGCCACGGUUAAUUACAUUUUUGAAAGGCUCGAAAGGAAAACAAGCUUUUCAUAAUUUUAUUAAGAUUUAUCAGGCCGGAACGAUAUGAAAUGAAAUUUCAUAUCUAGAUGCGAAAAUCGUAAAAUAAAUAAAAUGAGAAAUGUACUCUACUCGUAUAGUCUCAUAUAACGUGCUACCAUCGCCACACGUCAGUAAAGGGAAAAAAAGAAAUAUUUCGAAGAAUUUUUAAACAAAGGUAUCCUCAUCAUGAUGAAAUUUUUAUUUCUUUAAAUUAAAUUUCGAUACCAAAAUACCAAAUAUUUGUAGUAAACAAAGAUUCUUUAUUAUCUGGCGUUCCAAAGUGAAUUCCAAAUUUCCAAUAAAUAUAAAAACAGAUUUAUUGGAUUUUACAAAUAAAUAGGAUAUCUACCAGUAGGCUUAUGAUAUUUCAUUUCAAAACCAUAAUAUUAAAAAAUACCAUUGUUACGAUUGACUGACUUGAUUACAAAAAUAACCCUCGAGGGCUAUAUGUCAAUUGUAUCUGAAUUUAUUAAUACAAUAAAUUACAUUCCAAGUGAAACAAAUAAUAUUCCAGUGACAAAUACCUUAGUGUGAUUUUUACAAUAUUUUUUAUAACUUAUUUGUGAACUCGACCCUGUGUCAAAUUAUUCAAAUACAUAAUUUUCCCUAA